RNAcentral lists this ribosomal RNA (500 nucleotides) under uncultured bacterium. RNAcentral describes it as "partial 16S ribosomal RNA". It matches the Rfam family "Bacterial small subunit ribosomal RNA", at positions 30 to 523 of the family's 1533-position model. The record is from RNAcentral.
AUUGAACGCUGGCGGAAUGCUUUACACAUGCAAGUCGAACGGCAGCACGGACUUCGGUCUGGUGGCGAGUGGCGAACGGGUGAGUAAUGUAUCGGAACGUGCCCAGUCGUGGGGGAUAACGUAGUGGAAAUUACGCUAAUACCGCAUACGAUCUAGUGAUGAAAGCGGGGGAUCGCAAGACCUCGCGCGAUUGGAGCGGCCGAUAUCAGAUUAGGUAGUUGGUGGGGUAAAGGCCCACCAAGCCAACGAUCUGUAGCUGGUCUGAGAGGACGACCAGCCACACUGGAACUGAGACACGGUCCAGACUCCUACGGGAGGCAGCAGUGGGGAAUUUUGGACAAUGGGCGAAAGCCUGAUCCAGCCAUUCCGCGUGCAGGAUGAAGGCCCUCGGGUUGUAAACUGCUUUUGUACAGAACGAAAAGGUUUCUACUAAUACUAGGAGCUCAUGACGGUACUGUAAGAAUAAGCACCGGCUAACUACGUGCCAGCCGCCGCCGUAA